UGGGGAAUAUUGCACAAUGGGGGAAACCCUGAUGCAGCGACGCCGCGUGAGCGAAGAAGGUUUUCGAAUCGUAAAGCUCUGUCCUAUGGGAAGAUAAUGACGGUACCAUAGGAGGAAGCCCCGGCUAACUACGUGCAAGCAGCCGCGGUAAUACGUAGGGGGCAAGCGUUGUCCGGAAUCACUGGGCGUAAAGGGUUCGCAGGCGGAAAUGCAAGUCAGUUGUGAAAGGCAGAGGCUCAACCUCUGUAAGCAAUUGAAACUGUAUUUCUUGAGAUGUGGAGAGGCAAGUGGAAUUCCUAGUGUAGCGGUGAAAUGCGUAGAUAUUAGGAAGAAUACCGGUGGCGAAGGCGACUUGCUGGACACAAACUGACGCUGAGGAACGAAAGCGUGGGUAGCAAACAGG
This 403-nucleotide ribosomal RNA is filed under the name Fusobacteriota bacterium. Its description in RNAcentral is "Fusobacteria bacterium partial 16S ribosomal RNA". It matches the Rfam family "Bacterial small subunit ribosomal RNA", at positions 355 to 776 of the family's 1533-position model. Lineage: Bacteria; Fusobacteriati; Fusobacteriota. The record is from RNAcentral.